RNAcentral lists this ribosomal RNA (468 nucleotides) under uncultured bacterium. RNAcentral's name for it is "partial 16S ribosomal RNA". It matches the Rfam family "Bacterial small subunit ribosomal RNA", at positions 28 to 507 of the family's 1533-position model. The record is from RNAcentral.
GACGAACGCUGGCGGCGUGCUUAACACAUGCAAGUCGAGCGGAAAGGCCCGGCUUUUGCUGGUUGCUCGUGUGGCGAACGGGGGAGUAAAACGUGAGUAAAACGCCCUUGACAGUGUGAUAACACUAGGGAACUGCGGCGCAUACCGCGUAGGAGCUCCUGAUGCACGGGGGUGGAUGGAGAAAGUCGGCGGUUGGGGAUGGACUCGAGGCUUAUCAGCUUGUUGGGGGGGUAGUGGCUUACCAGGGCUUUGACGGGUAGCCGGCCUGAGAGGGUGACCGGCCACAUUGGGACUGAGAUACGGCCCAGACUCCUACGGGAGGCAGCAGUGGGGAAUAUUGCAAUAUGGGCGGAAGCCUGAUGCAGCAACGCCGCGUGCGGGAUGACGGCCUUCGGGUUGUAAACCGCUUUCGCCUGUGACGAAGCGUGAGUGACGGUAAUGGGUAAAGAAGCACCGGCUAACUACGUG